Molecule: ribosomal RNA, 253 nt
Filed under: uncultured prokaryote
Description: partial 16S ribosomal RNA
Rfam family: Bacterial small subunit ribosomal RNA
Source: RNAcentral
UACGUAGGCAGCAAGCGUUGUUCGGAAUUACUGGGCGUAAAGAGUGUGUAGGCGGUGCUCUAAGUCUAUCGUGAAAUCUCCCGGCUCAACUGGGAGGGUGCGGCGGAAACUGGAGUGCUUGAGUAUGGGAGAGGAAAGCGGAAUUCCUGGUGUAGCGGUGAAAUGCGUAGAUAUCAGGAGGAACACCUGCGGUGUAGACAGCUUUCUGGACCAUCACUGACGCUGAGACACGAAAGCGUGGGUAGCAAACAGG